GACGAACGCUUGCGGCGUGCUUAACACAUGCAAGUCGAACGGAAAGGCCCUGCUUUUGUGGGGUGCUCGAGUGGCGAACGGGUGAGUAACACGUUAGUAACCUGCCCUUGACUUUGGGAUAACUUCAGGAAACUGGGGCUAAUACCGGAUAGGAGCUCCUGCUGCCUGGUGGGGGUUGGAAAGUUUCGGCGGUUGGGGAUGGACUCGCGGCUUAUCAGCUUGUUGGUGGGGUAGUGGCUUACCAAGGCUUUGACGGGUAGCCGGCCUGAGAGGGUGACCGGCCACAUUGGGACUGAGAUACGGCCCAGACUCCUACGGGAGGCAGCAGUGGGGAAUAUUGCACAAUGGGCGGAAGCCUGAUGCAGCAACGCCGCGUGCGGGAUGACGGCCUUCGGGUUGUAAACCGCUUUCGCCUGUGACGAAGCGUGAGUGACGGUAAUGGGUAAAGAAGCACCGGCUAACUACGUG
Molecule: ribosomal RNA, 468 nt
Filed under: uncultured bacterium
Lineage: Bacteria
Description: partial 16S ribosomal RNA
Rfam family: Bacterial small subunit ribosomal RNA
Source: RNAcentral